Onychomys torridus (southern grasshopper mouse) is the source of this 107-nucleotide small nuclear RNA. The record is from RefSeq and is a predicted model, not a curated record. NCBI's taxonomy places the organism in Eukaryota, Metazoa, Chordata, Mammalia, Rodentia, Cricetidae.
GUGCUCACCUCGGCAGCACAUAUACUAAAAUUGGAUCGAUACAGAGAAGAUUAGCAUGGACCCUGCGCAAGAAUGACAUCCAAAUUCAUAAAGUGCUCCAUAUUAAA